Molecule: non-coding RNA, 747 nt
Organism: Myxocyprinus asiaticus (Chinese sucker)
Lineage: Eukaryota; Metazoa; Chordata; Actinopteri; Cypriniformes; Catostomidae
Source: the annotation of a RefSeq genome assembly
ACAGCAUUUUAUCAACACCUUUGACCAGGAAUAAUGUACAAGCUACUCUUUAACUACAUUUGUAGGUUGUGAUGAACAAGGAAGUUAAGUAGCAUGUGUGGGAGGAGCUCAAUGUUUUACAUACUCUAGCAGAAAAAAAUCAGAGACAACACUGACUUACCUUAAUACAGAAACUGAUAGUCUGAACUCCAAAUAAAAACAAAAAAACAAUGCUACUCAUCUCCGCUGCUUUAAUGUUUAUCUUCAGCUACUGUAAAGCCAAUGAGAAUCCAAUCAGACCAGACGAAACAUCUGUAGUUUUUACUGAAGGAAGCAACACCACACUGUCCUGUAGAUUUGAUGGAUCACCUUAUAGUCUCCACUGGUACCGGCAGAUGCAUGGAUCAACACCAGAGUUUUUGGUGCUGAUUGUUAGGUCUAGUAAAAUUGCAAUACAGGCUACUCCACCGCAACCACAUAUGUCCAUCAGACUACAUAAUGAUAAUCAUUUGGAUCUGGAGAUCUCCUCUGCUGCAGUAACAGACUCAGCUCUGUACUACUGUGCCCUGGAGCCCACAGUGACAGGAAACCCAAAUAUACUGCCAAAUGUUGCCCCUGGUCUUUAUGAUAAUGUCUCUGCUCAAAGAGAAUGCUGAUGCAAACACAAUAACACCGCUGUCCUCAGAGAAGCAUAUUAUAGUAGGAGACAAUGUUACGCUCUUCUGUGAUUACACUGGUAUUGUUAACACCUUGCAGUGGUAUCGGCAA